This 497-nucleotide ribosomal RNA is filed under the name uncultured bacterium. Its description in RNAcentral is "partial 16S ribosomal RNA". It matches the Rfam family "Bacterial small subunit ribosomal RNA", at positions 28 to 507 of the family's 1533-position model. The record is from RNAcentral.
GACGAACGCUGGCGGCGUGCCUAAUACAUGCAAGUCGAACGCUGAAGCGAGGAGCUUGCUCUUCUUGGAUGAGUUGCGAACGGGUGAGUAACGCGUAGGUAACCUGCCUUGUAGCGGGGGAUAACUAUUGGAAACGAUAGCUAAUACCGCAUAACAAUGGAUGACACAUGUCAUUUAUUUGAAAGGGGCAAUUGCUCCACUACAAGAUGGACCUGCGUUGUAUUAGCUAGUAGGUGAGGUAACGGCUCACCUAGGCGACGAUACAUAGCCGACCUGAGAGGGUGAUCGGCCACACUGGGACUGAGACACGGCCCAGACUCCUACGGGAGGCAGCAGUAGGGAAUCUUCGGCAAUGGGGGCAACCCUGACCGAGCAACGCCGCGUGAGUGAAGAAGGUUUUCGGAUCGUAAAGCUCUGUUGUAAGUCAAGAACGAGUGUGAGAGUGGAAAGUUUACACUGUGACGGUAGCUUACCAGAAAGGGACGGCUAACUACGUG